RNAcentral lists this ribosomal RNA (465 nucleotides) under Vreelandella stevensii. RNAcentral describes it as "partial 16S ribosomal RNA". It matches the Rfam family "Bacterial small subunit ribosomal RNA", at positions 338 to 795 of the family's 1533-position model. Lineage: Bacteria; Pseudomonadati; Pseudomonadota; Gammaproteobacteria; Oceanospirillales; Halomonadaceae. The record is from RNAcentral.
CCUACGGGAGGCUGCAGUGGGGAAUAUUGGACAAUGGGCGAAAGCCUGAUCCAGCCAUGCCGCGUGUGUGAAGAAGGCCUUCGGGUUGUAAAGCACUUUCAGUGGGGAAGAAAGCCUUGGGGCUAAUACCCUCGAGGAAGGACAUCACCCACAGAAGAAGCACCGGCUAACUCCGUGCCAGCAGCCGCGGUAAUACGGAGGGUGCGAGCGUUAAUCGGAAUUACUGGGCGUAAAGCGCGCGUAGGCGGUCUGAUAAGCCGGUUGUGAAAGCCCCGGGCUCAACCUGGGAACGGCAUCCGGAACUGGCAGGCUAGAGUGCAGGAGAGGAAGGUAGAAUUCCCGGUGUAGCGGUGAAAUGCGUAGAGAUCGGGAGGAAUACCAGUGGCGAAGGCGGCCUUCUGGACUGACACUGACGCUGAGGUGCGAAAGCGUGGGUAGCAAACAGGAUUAGAUACCCGGGUAGUC